AGUUGAUCCUGGCUCAGAACGAACGCUGGUAGCGUGGAUUAGGCAUGCAAGUCGAACGGGAUCCGGCCGGUAGCAAUAUUGGCCGGUGAGAGUGGCGGAAGGGCGAGGAACACGUGAACAACCUGUCCAUCAGGUGGGGAAAACCGUUGGAAACGACGGCUAAUACCGAAUGUGGCGUCAAGGCACAUGCCGUGAACGCUAAAGGGGGCCCGCAAGGGCUCUCCCUGAACGAAGGGUUCGCGCACCAUCAGCUUGUUGGCGGGUAACGGCCCACCAAGGCUUACGGUUAGCUGGUCUGAGAGGAUGACCAGCCGCACUGGGACUGAGAUACUGCCCAGACUCCUACGGGAGGCUGCAGUCGAGGAUCAUUUGCAAUGGGCGAAAGCCUGACAAUGCGACGCUGCGUGGAGGAUGAAGGCCUUCGGGUUGUAAACUCCUGUCAUAAGGGAAAAGGAGAGGAUACCCAAUACGUAUCCGAUUUGAUGGUACCUUAAGAGGAAGGGACGGCUAACUCUGUGCCAGCCGCUGC
This 529-nucleotide ribosomal RNA is filed under the name uncultured bacterium. RNAcentral's name for it is "bacterial SSU rRNA". It matches the Rfam family "Bacterial small subunit ribosomal RNA", at positions 10 to 518 of the family's 1533-position model. The record is from RNAcentral.